GUUAAAAAGCUCGUAGUUGGAUUUCUGAUCUUUGCCAAUGGUUGUGUCGCCGCGUGCGAGGCGCCUUGCGCAGAGGUCAACAUAUGUCACGAGCCAGUGUGAUCUAUUCAUUUAGGUCCACUGGGUAGUGACUCGUUUACUUUGAGAAAAUUAGAGUGUUCAAAGCAGGCAUUUGCCUUGGAUAUGUUAGCAUGGAAUAAUAGCAUAGGACUUCGGUUCUAUUUGUUGGUUGUUCGAGAACUGGAGUAAUGAUUGAUAGGGACGGUUGGGGGCAUCCGUAUUCUCAAGCGAGAGGUGAAAUUCUUGGACCUUGGGAAGACGAACAGCUGCGAAAGCGUUUGCCUAGGACGUUCUCUUUACUCAAGAACGAAAGUUGGGGGAUCGA
RNAcentral lists this ribosomal RNA (385 nucleotides) under uncultured marine eukaryote. RNAcentral describes it as "bacterial SSU rRNA". It matches the Rfam family "Eukaryotic small subunit ribosomal RNA", at positions 618 to 1001 of the family's 1831-position model. The record is from RNAcentral.